UAGAGUUUGAUCCUGGCUCAGGAUGAACGCUAGCGACAGGCUUAACACAUGCAAGUCGAGGGGCAGCACAGGGUAGCAAUACUUGGGUGGCGACCGGCGCACGGGUGAGUAACGCGUAUGCAACUUACCUAUCAGAGGGGGAUAGCCCGGCGAAAGUCGGAUUAAUACCCCAUGAAACAGGGGUCCCGCAUGGGAAUAUUUGUUAAAGAUUCAUCGCUGAUAGAUAGGCAUGCGUUCCAUUAGGCAGUUGGCGGGGUAACGGCCCACCAAACCGACGAUGGAUAGGGGUUCUGAGAGGAAGGUCCCCCACAUUGGUACUGAGACACGGACCAAACUCCUACGGGAGGCAGCAGUGAGGAAUAUUGGUCAAUGGACGCGAGUCUGAACCAGCCAUGCCGCGUGCAGGAAGACGGCCCUAUGAGUUGUAAACUGCUUUUGUACGAGGGUAAACGCUCUUACGUGUAAGAGCCUGAAAGUAUCGUACGAAUAAGGAUCGGCUAACUCCGUGCCAGCAGCCGCGGUAAUACGGAGGAUCCAAGCGUUAUCCGGGUUUAUUGGGUUUAAAGGGUGCGUAGGCGGUUUGAUAAGUUAGAGGUGAAAUACCGGUGCUUAACACCGGAACUGCCUCUAAUACUGUUGAACUAGAGAGUAGUUGCGGUAGGCGGAAUGUAUGGUGUAGCGGUGAAAUGCUUAGAGAUCAUACAGAACACCGAUUGCGAAGGCAGCUUACCAAACUAUAUCUGACGUUGAGGCACGAAAGCGUGGGGAGCAAACAGGAUUAGAUACCCUGGUAGUCCACGCAGUAAACGAUGAUAACUCGCUGUCGGCGAUACACGGUCGGCGGCUAAGCGAAAGCGAUAAGUUAUCCACCUGGGGAGUACGUUCGCAAGAAUG
This 894-nucleotide ribosomal RNA is filed under the name uncultured bacterium. RNAcentral's name for it is "bacterial SSU rRNA". It matches the Rfam family "Bacterial small subunit ribosomal RNA", at positions 1 to 896 of the family's 1533-position model. The record is from RNAcentral.